GAAACGGCUACCACAUCUACGGAAGGCAGCAGGCGCGCAAAUUACCCACUCCUAGAACGGGGAGGUAGUGACGAAAAAUAACAAUACCGGACUCAAUGAGGCUCGGUAAUUGAAAUGAGUACAGUUUAAAACCCUUAACGAGGAUCUAUUGGAGGGCAAGUCUGGUGCCAGCAGCCGCGGUAAUUCCAGCUCCAAUAGCGUAUAUUAAAGUUGUUGCAGUUAAAAAGCUCGUAGUUGGAUCUCGGGUACUAGCAUGUGGUACGCUUUUUUGCUGUUACUACAUGUCUGGUCCUAAUCAACCGGUUGGCCGUUGAUGCCCUUUAUUGGGUGUUUUCGGUAGCCGGUACGUUUACUUUGAGAAAAUUAGAGUGCUUAAAGCAGGCCUUAAGCCUGAAUAAUGUUGCAUGGAAUAAUAGAAUAGGACCUCGGUUCUAUUUUGUUGGUUUUGUAGAGCAUUGAGGUAAUGAUUAAUAGGGACAGACGUGGGCAUUCGUAUUGCGGUGUUAGAGGUGAAAUUCUUGGAUCGCCGCAAGACGAACAACUGCGAAAGCAUUUGCCAAGAAUGUUUUCAUUAAUCAAGAACGAAAGUUGGAGGUUCGAAGACGAUUAGAUACCGUCCUAGUUCCAACCAUAAACGAUGCCAACUAGCGAUUAGCUGCUGUUAUUUUUACGACACAGCUAGCAGCUUCCGGGAAACCAAAGUUUUUGGGUUCCGGGGGAAGUAUGGUUGCAAAGCUGAAACUUAAAGGAAUUGACGGAAGGGCACCACCAGGAGUGGAGCCUGCGGCUUAAUUUGACCCAACACGGGAAAUCUCACCCGGCCCGGACACUGUAAGGAUUGACAGAUUGAGAGCUCUUUCUUGAUUCGGUGGGUGGUGGUGCAUGGCCGUUCUUAGUUGGUGGAGCGAUUUGUCUGGUUAAUUCCGAUAACGAACGAGACUCUAGCCUGCUAAAUAGUACGUCGAUCUUUAGUCGGCGCGUACCUCUUAGAGGGACAAGUAGCGGUAAGCUACACGAAAUUGAGCAAUAACAGGUCUGUGAUGCCCUUAGAUGUACGGGGCCGCACGCGCGCUACACUGAAGGGAUAAGCGUGUUUUUCCUGCUCCGAAAGGAGUGGGCAAUCCGCUGAAACCCCUUCGUGAUUGGGAUCGGGGCUUGAAAUUAUUCUCCGUGAACGAGGAAUUCCCAGUAAGCGCGAGUCAUAAGCUCGCGUUGAUUACGUCCCUGCCCUUUGUACACACCGCCCGUCGCUACUACCGAUUGAAUGGUUUAGUGAGAUCUUCGGAUUGGUCCGGAGGUGUCCGCAAGGUCGCCUCUAGGUGCCGAGAAGAUGAUCAAACUUGAUCAUUUAGAGGAAGUAAAAGUCGUAACAAGGUU
RNAcentral lists this ribosomal RNA (1377 nucleotides) under metagenome. Its description in RNAcentral is "SSU rRNA". It matches the Rfam family "Eukaryotic small subunit ribosomal RNA", at positions 400 to 1801 of the family's 1831-position model. The record is from RNAcentral.